Molecule: long non-coding RNA, 345 nt
Filed under: Triticum aestivum (bread wheat)
Lineage: Eukaryota; Viridiplantae; Streptophyta; Magnoliopsida; Poales; Poaceae
Description: long non-coding RNA (TAES_LNC016791)
Source: RNAcentral
GCUCUCCGUCGACCACACGCCCCCGGGCCUCCUGCCGCCGCCCCCUCCCCCCUCCAUGCCGCCGUCGUCCGCGCCGCCCAUGCCCAGCCCGAUGUCGCCUCCUUCCAUGACGCCGCCGUCCGCCGCGCCGAUGCCGAGCCCGAUGUCACCACCGUCCAUGACACCGCCGUCAGCCGCGCCGAUGCCCAGCCCGAUGUCACCACCGUCCAUGACACCGCCGUCCGCCGCACCGAUGCCCAGCCCGAUGUCGCCGCCUUCCAUGACACCGCCGUCCACCGCGCCGAUGCCCAGCCCGAUGUCCCCUCCUUCCAUGGCACCGCCGUCCAGCGAACCGAUGCCGAGCCC